Hyaena hyaena (striped hyena) is the source of this 540-nucleotide long non-coding RNA. RefSeq lists it as uncharacterized. The transcript is spliced from 3 exons. The record is from RefSeq and is a predicted model, not a curated record. Lineage: Eukaryota; Metazoa; Chordata; Mammalia; Carnivora; Hyaenidae.
GAAUAAAUGAAUGAACAAAGCUAAAAUAUGGGCUAUAGGAUACUCAUGUAAACAAGACCAGGAGAUGUAGCUUUGGGAAGCCAUGGGAGUGGACGAAAUUACCUUGGAGAGAGGAGGUAAAGCUCUAGACAGGAGAUACAAACUCACAAGCCGUGGAUUUCGGGGCUGAAAAGACAAACAAGAAGUACGUUCGUAAUCACCAGCACAGUCACCUCUGCCGAGCUGCGACCACAGCUAAUUCCAGGGAUAAGAACAGCUGUCAGCAGCCAGAGUCCAGCUCAGCCUCAGAAGGAAGAGCACCUCUCCCCAGAAAUUGAGAAGAGGAAAGUUUCAGAGGGUACUUGGUUGGACUGGUCCAGUACAGCUCAUGCAACCGUGCCUAACCCAUGAAUGUGGUCAGAGGAACGAGAUGACCCAGUUGGUGAGGGCUGGGCUGUGUUCUGACUCCUGCGUGUAUGGGGGUGGGGGAGGGGUAGCUCUAGUCUAAGACACGAGCAAUGAGUUCUGAGAGGGAAAGGCCGCCUAUUCCUUGUGUGUACU